ACCUGCCUGGGAAGCUCUUGCGGAGGGCCAGCCACAGCCCCUGCCUGCACCGGGAAUCAGAGCUUUCCCAGGCCCGCUUGAACCCCAGCAACUGGAGGAGCCACAGGAAGCGACCGGCCCAACUGACCACGGAGAAUCCUCAGGCUCAUGGGAGACCCCAAUGCAGAUACUGCUAUUGCACUGCCCCAUUGGCUAGGAGGAACAGAGAUGUUUUGGGAAAGCAAGAGAGUCUCCUGCUUUCUUGUUGCAACCUGAGACCUUCAGAAAAUACUUCUGCCACUGAAGUUAAGAGACUGUGUGUUAGCUCAACAACAGCAGGCAGCUUUCCUCUGUGGCUUACCUACUGGAUGAGAGAGAACACGUAAUGUACACUAAAGAGCAGGAGACAGGCUCUCCAUCCUUUGAGACCAGAAGAGAAAGGUACCUUUUAAGGGAUGGAAGGUUGAUCCUCCCAAUUUGACUUGGAAAUAGCUUCAGAGCAGACUUCAGAAAGGUAAAGCUAUCCUGUGACACUUCUGAUCAACACAAAUCCUGAUGCCCCAGGGACAUGGCAUUCAGAGAUGUAAUAUACAAAACAUGGAACUUGGGAGUUGCAGAGAAAUCUGGAGACUGGUACGGAUCCACAGCUGCCAGUGUCAGAUUUUGUUGAA
Molecule: long non-coding RNA, 650 nt
Organism: Mauremys reevesii (Reeves's turtle)
Lineage: Eukaryota; Metazoa; Chordata; Testudines; Geoemydidae
Exons: 3
Source: RefSeq, a predicted model, not a curated record